GCCUUAGCACAAGUUCUUCUUUGUCUAGAUUCCCUGUUUGGUAUAGACUCAUCUUGUUUUUUGUCAAUUAUGUUUCGUUUUGUUGUAGAGGAAUCACUAGCAGUGGAAGAAGGUGAAAGUUUCUCUUGAUUCCCACUCAUGGAGUUUCUCAGGAAAGUUAACUGAGCCAUGGGGCUUACAGUACCAUGCCUGGCAUAUAAAGAACCUUGUAACACUAAUGGGGAGAAAGAUGAACCAUACGUUGAAGCCAUUAUUGUGUCAAUGCCUAUUCUUUCAAGUUUCUCAACUAAACGGAUACUGCUCCACUGGAUAAUAACCCUAAAGAAAGUCUACCUUCUGGAGUUGGUGUACUAGAUCGACUAUCUGGAGGACUAGCAUCAGGACUAUUACAAGGUGUUGCAGUGGGCGUAUAAUUCCUCUCUCCACUCGGCGUUAAUGAAGAAG
RNAcentral lists this unclassified non-coding RNA (444 nucleotides) under Bombus terrestris (buff-tailed bumblebee). Its description in RNAcentral is "misc RNA ENSBTSG00005028566.1". Lineage: Eukaryota; Metazoa; Arthropoda; Insecta; Hymenoptera; Apidae. The record is from RNAcentral.